AUGGACCGGGAGGGGUGGCCAACUCCGUCGGGGAGCUAGCAGCGCCCCGCACAUGCGCACCCGGGGUGGAAGAGCCCACAUGCGCUGCAUAAUAGGAACGGCCCCUCCCCCACCCAGAAGCACGCCAGGCUCCCGACCACUACAGCAGCCCUCAGCGCCUCAGUUUCCCGCUCCGAGCCCGCAAGCCGGCUCUGGAGACGCCCGGGGGACCCAGUCACCAGAGAAGCCUCACCGACUCGGCUCCUCACUUCACUCGUGCACGGGCGAUUCGUCUUGCUCCCAACCUCAGAGCCCACGUCCCCAUUCUAAGGCCUUGGAGCAUUCCCCAACUACUCCAACCUAUAUCCUCAAGGCCGCAAGUCCCUGGCCGCCUCACCGUGGGUCCUCGAACUCAACGAAGGCGAAGGGCGGUCCUCCGCGGCGAUUCUUCAGGUCGAUGUCGCGGAUAGCACCGUAUUUGUAGAACACGUCCUCAAUGUCCUUGGUUCGGAUGUCUGGAGAUGCAGCUUCCAAAUUCUGCAGAUUAUAUUCCACAGUUCUGGGAACCCAGCAGCUUUCAGUCUGGUGCUAGUAUGAUCAGUGUGGCCCCAGAGGACUACGCGAUGUGGAUACCUGUGCAGUACUUCCUUGUCUGGUUCCAACCUGCAUCCAUGUGGUCUGGGGCGCACCAAUCUUAAUUCCUUCCAAGUCAGUUUCUACUUUUUGUGGAAUCCAGGUUCCAGGGAGGAAAAUUUCUUUCCCUUGAUUCAGAAUCUCCAUUUCCUAUCUUGGGAUUUAUCUUUAUAAUAAAGAUGAUUGAGAAUGAGAA
This is a non-coding RNA of Odocoileus virginianus texanus, 808 nucleotides long. Lineage: Eukaryota; Metazoa; Chordata; Mammalia; Artiodactyla; Cervidae. The record is from RefSeq and is a predicted model, not a curated record.